ACGCUGUGGAAGCAGUGGCGAGAGGUGUGAGUUGCCUCUCUCUCUCUGUUUCCUGUCUUCGCGCUUGCUGCGGGCGGUUUCCUUGCAUUUCCGUCGUGUCAAUCAUUUUCUUUUAGAUUAUUAUAUCAGUUUGCUCUAAUUCGCCCACGCGAUGCUUGCGACCUUCGGCGUCCUGCCUUUGGUCACACUUCUGACAGGCGUGACCUGUGGAAGCCACGGGUCACCAGUGCGACCAGAGGUAGACAUUAUCUUCGACGACCAGUUCCCGCUACUGCGAAAGUUUCCCGCGCUGUACCGACAGGGAGACGACCAGAUUAUAGAGCCGAAGGAAUUGAGGUCCUCCUCGGCUGGAGAAGGACCUCUGCCAGAUACACAAACGCUGAGGAAGGUCAUGGACGCCUGCUGGAGGGUCCUCUGGUACUAUCGAGGCCACGUGGCUCAGAUGAACCUCGAUGCUGUCAUUGGAACUCGCAUCGCAGAAGCGCAGUUCCAGAUGGUCUCGGACGCUCUGCAAGACCAGCUUGCAACAAGAAACUCCGAGGCCAUGCAAGAAACCUUGUCGUCUCUACUUGACCUCCGUGACCUCGCCUCCCAGGUCAACAACGAGGCUGAACCUGCUGUAAUGACCUCAGAACCGGAAUACUAUGGGCAGUUGGGCAAAAUGUUGGCCAAAGGGUUCUGGGAGGUCCCUCUGGUCACGCGCCGUGAACACCUCCGCUCAACGGGAUAUUUUCGAUCCAGCUUCGCGUCGUGUCCUGGACGAGGUGGAACAGCUGCUGGAGUUCCAGUCCGACAAGUGCCUGGCAGAGGAGUUCGGCACAUCGUGUCUGUACCGAAGCGAAGGCAGACACAGCGCGGAGGAGUGUGGGCGGUGCAGCAUCAGUGAGGAGUGCUGGAGGCGGAUGACCAAGCCGGGCUAUUCUGGCUACUCCCUUACCCACCAGGCCUUCUACAUCAUCAUUGGACUGCAGACCGGAUGCGGAGAGAAGGUGCAGCUCCUGACGCGGAGGACGACGGGCGGGGCCAGCGUGCGAGACCUCCUGGAUCGCAUCUGCGCCGACGUGCUCACGGAGGCGCAGGUCAUCGCGCAGGCCGGAUUCCCGCAACACCGCC
RNAcentral lists this unclassified non-coding RNA (1113 nucleotides) under Penaeus japonicus. RNAcentral describes it as "uPF0764 protein C16orf89 homolog, transcript variant X1". Lineage: Eukaryota; Metazoa; Arthropoda; Malacostraca; Decapoda; Penaeidae. The record is from RNAcentral.